RNAcentral lists this non-coding RNA (90 nucleotides) under Ruaniaceae bacterium KH17. Its description in RNAcentral is "SAM riboswitch aptamer (S box leader)". It matches the Rfam family "SAM riboswitch aptamer (S box leader)". Rfam says of the family: The SAM riboswitch is found upstream of a number of genes which code for proteins involved in methionine or cysteine biosynthesis in Gram-positive bacteria. The SAM riboswitch acts at the level of transcription termination control. The predicted structure consists of a complex stem-loop region followed by a single stem loop terminator region. RNAcentral also lists the same sequence under 1 other name. The record is from Rfam by way of RNAcentral. Lineage: Bacteria; Bacillati; Actinomycetota; Actinomycetes; Micrococcales; Ruaniaceae.
CACCUAUCCAGAGCAGCCGAGAGACCUGGCUCGAUGACGCUGCAGCAACCGGUCGGUGUGACACGGUGCUAAUGCCAGAGGCGAUGGAGG